Molecule: ribosomal RNA, 460 nt
Filed under: uncultured bacterium
Lineage: Bacteria
Description: partial 16S ribosomal RNA
Rfam family: Bacterial small subunit ribosomal RNA
Source: RNAcentral
CCUACGGGAGGCAGCAGUGAGGAAUAUUGGUCAAUGGACGCAAGUCUGAACCAGCCAUGCCGCGUGCAGGAAGACGGCUCUAUGAGUUGUAAACUGCUUUUGUACGAGGGUAAACGCAGAUACGCGUAUCUGUCUGAAAGUAUCGUACGAAUAAGGAUCGGCUAACUCCGUGCCAGCAGCCGCGGUAAUAAGGAGGAGUCCAGCGUUAUACGGAUGUAGUGGGGUUAAAGGGUGAGUAUGCGGUCGGAGAAUUUAGAGGGGAAAUCCCGAGGCUUAACUUCGGAAUUGCCUCUGAUACUGUUCGGCUAGAGAGUAGUUGCGGUAGGCGGAAUGUAUGGUGUAGCGGUGAAAUGCUUAGAGAUCAUACAGAACACCGAUUGCGAAGGCAGCUUACCAAGCUACUUCUGACGUUGAGGCACGAAAGCGUGGGGAGCAAACAGGAUUAGAUACCCUUGUAGUC